AUCGAACGCUGGCGGAAUGCUUUACACAUGCAAGUCGAACGGCAGCACGGGGGCAGCCCUGGUGGCGAGUGGCGAACGGGUGAGUAAUACAUCGGAACGUGCCCGGUCGUGGGGGAUAACGUAGCGAAAGUUACGCUAAUACCGCAUACGAUCUGAGGAUGAAAGCGGGGGACCUUCGGGCCUCGCGCGAUCGGAGCGGCCGAUGUCAGAUUAGGUAGUUGGUGGGGUAAAGGCCUACCAAGCCGACGAUCUGUAGCUGGUCUGAGAGGACGAACAGCCACACUGGGACUGAGACACGGCCCAGACUCCUACGGGAGGCAGCAGUGGGGAAUUUUGGACAAUGGGCGCAAGCCUGAUCCAGCCAUUCCGCGUGCAGGACGAAGGCCUUCGGGUUGUAAACUGCUUUUGUACGGAACGAAAAGGCUCUGGCUAAUACCUGGGGCUCAUGACGGUACCGUAAGAAUAAGCACCGGCUAACUACGUG
RNAcentral lists this ribosomal RNA (484 nucleotides) under uncultured bacterium. RNAcentral's name for it is "partial 16S ribosomal RNA". It matches the Rfam family "Bacterial small subunit ribosomal RNA", at positions 30 to 507 of the family's 1533-position model. The record is from RNAcentral.